Glycine soja is the source of this 523-nucleotide long non-coding RNA. RefSeq lists it as uncharacterized. The record is from RefSeq and is a predicted model, not a curated record. The transcript is spliced from 3 exons. Lineage: Eukaryota; Viridiplantae; Streptophyta; Magnoliopsida; Fabales; Fabaceae.
GCAAACGUUAUUUUUCAUGUAGCCUUGAAAACAGACAUUCCUUUCUCCUUCUUUCUUCCAAAACCCUUCCCCAAUGUCCCAAGCUUCUUCUCCACCACCCACAACCACCACGGACCGCCGUUGUUCUCCGUUGAAAUCCCACACCGAGAGGAACCCUUCAAUCGGAGCGGAAUCUUUCAAGCUUGUCUCGCGGUUUCAGUAGAGAAUGAAGCCCAAUCUGACCUUUGCGGUUUUCUUCGAGAGACUUGCGUUGGACCGAUAAGCGUGAACGAAAGAGAGGCCUCUAAGUGACACAAAGAGGAACCGACGGGGAGCUCACGAUAGAAUGACAGCAAUAGGGUGCAGGAAGUGAGAUUCUGUUGAGGUAUCGCCAAGCCGACGUGAUGACAUUGGGAUUAUUUUGGGAGAGAGUUGUGUUUUGUUAAUCAACUCCUCCAUAGUUGGUUCAUGAUUCCUUUUGUUGAACUAAAGAUGUAAAACUCAGAUUUUUAAUUAUAUGUAUAAACAAGUUUAAUUUCCAUUA